This 631-nucleotide long non-coding RNA is filed under the name Triticum aestivum (bread wheat). Its description in RNAcentral is "long non-coding RNA (TAES_LNC022919)". The record is from RNAcentral. Lineage: Eukaryota; Viridiplantae; Streptophyta; Magnoliopsida; Poales; Poaceae.
CGUGCUUCCUUCAGCUUUGUCAAAUAAGAACAUAGGCCAAAAGAAAGGGAUGAGAUUAGCUAAUAGGCAGAGGUGCAUCAUAUAGAUAGCUUUGAUCACCCAGCUUAUGGUAACUAAGAUAUGCAGUAUUUAGAUUACGUAGAGCAUGUACCAGCGUGUCGAAAAUUACCUCAUCAUCUAAGCUGCUCUUCAUGGUGGGUGUGUUGCGGCGGGUUGUGAUUGGCAAAAGCAGAAAUGUCUUCCAUAGACAUCAUCCACCAGCUGCUCCUCAAAUAGUCUAUGAUUCCAUCUUUUUCUUUCAGCUCGUGUUCCAGAGAAUUACUUUUUGUUCAACCAACUACAACUUAUCAUAAUUGAUGUCUUGCAGCACUUUGUUGUAAGAGACUUCCAUGUAUUUAAGAGGUUCGUCUGCCAGCCAAUCUUCAGCCUCGGGCAGUUUCAUAGACAUAGAUGGAUAUUAAUGUCUUUGCAAGUUCAUUAUUUAGCUGGUACUCAAUGGAUAGAAUUAAACACUUGCCUCGAGGUCCUUGCCUUGUGUGUUGAGUUAGCUGCGCUUGGAAGGCCAAGCGCUAUCUCAUCGUAGCAUCCGGAAGCACUUUUGUUGGAAUAUUACGUUUUCCAUCACGGCGGA